AGUGAACGCUGGCGGUAUGCCUAACACAUGCAAGUCGAACGGCAGCACGGUAAGCGCUUGGUCUUACGGGUGGGGACGGGCGGGCGGGGGAGCAAAACAUGGGAAGCUACGUUUUCGAGGGGGGCAAAGUAGUGAAACAUACGCUAAUACCGCAUACGACCUACGGGUGAAAGCGUGAGAUCUUCGGACCUUGCGCGGUUGGAUAAGCCGAUGUCGGAUUGGUGAGUUGGCGGGGUAACGGGCCGCCAAGGCGACGAUCCGUGGCUGGUAUGAGGGGAUGAUCGGCCACAUUGGAACUGAGCAACGGCCCAGCCUCCAACGGGAGGCAGCAGUGGGGAAUAUUGGAAAAUGGGGGCAAGCCUGUUCCGCCAUCACCGCGUGGGUGAAGAAGGCCUUCGGGUUGUAAGGACAUUUUGUUGGGAAAGAAAAGCGCCAGGUUAAUACCCGGAUGUCUGACGGUAACUGAAAAAUAAGCCACGGCUUACUUUGUU
This 491-nucleotide ribosomal RNA is filed under the name uncultured bacterium. RNAcentral's name for it is "partial 16S ribosomal RNA". It matches the Rfam family "Bacterial small subunit ribosomal RNA", at positions 30 to 507 of the family's 1533-position model. The record is from RNAcentral.